CUGAGUUGAAUGGGGAGGGUUUGUAACAGAGUCCUCCCUUUUUUCUCUUCACCCUUUGUUAUUAUUUGUACAAGUUGCUUUGGUGGUUGGGUUACCACCCUUCUGCCAGACGGCUUUUUCAAACACUGUUAUCUAACAAUCAAGAUAUGUUUUGUCUAAUUUUUACGACUUGAAUAAGUAUGUA
This 184-nucleotide unclassified non-coding RNA is filed under the name uncultured fungus. Its description in RNAcentral is "sequence contains ITS1, 5.8S rRNA gene". Lineage: Eukaryota; Fungi. The record is from RNAcentral.